RNAcentral lists this ribosomal RNA (301 nucleotides) under uncultured bacterium. RNAcentral describes it as "partial 16S ribosomal RNA". It matches the Rfam family "Bacterial small subunit ribosomal RNA", at positions 509 to 807 of the family's 1533-position model. The record is from RNAcentral.
CAGCAGCCACGGUAAUACAGAGGGUGCGAGCGUUAAUCGGAUUUACUGGGCGUAAAGCGUGCGUAGGCGGCUUUUUAAGUCGGAUGUGAAAUCCCUGAGCUUAACUUAGGAAUUGCAUUCGAUACUGGGAAGCUAGAGUAUGGGAGAGGAUGGUAGAAUUCCAGGUGUAGCGGUGAAAUGCGUAGAGAUCUGGAGGAAUACCGAUGGCGAAGGCAUCCAUCUGGCCUAAUACUGACGCUGAGGUACGAAAGCAUGGGGAGCAAACAGGAUUAGAUACCCGCGUAGUCCCUGUCUCUUAUAC